RNAcentral lists this ribosomal RNA (498 nucleotides) under uncultured bacterium. Its description in RNAcentral is "partial 16S ribosomal RNA". It matches the Rfam family "Bacterial small subunit ribosomal RNA", at positions 30 to 523 of the family's 1533-position model. The record is from RNAcentral.
AUUGAACGCUGGCGGCAUGCUUUACACAUGCAAGUCGAACGGUAACAGGUCUUCGGAUGCUGACGAGUGGCGAACGGGUGAGUAAUGCAUCGGAACGUGCCCAGUCGUGGGGGAUAACGCAGCGAAAGCUGCGCUAAUACCGCAUACGAUCUAUGGAUGAAAGCGGGGGACCGUAAGGCCUCGCGCGAUUGGAGCGGCCGAUGUCAGAUUAGGUAGUUGGUGGGGUAAAGGCGCACCAAGCCAACGAUCUGUAGCUGGUCUGAGAGGACGACCCGCCACACUGGGACUGGGACACGGCCCAGACUCCUACGGGAGGCAGCAGUGGGGAAUUUUGGACAAUGGGCGCAAGCCUGAUCCAGCAAUGCCGCGUGCAGGAAGAAGGCCUUCGGGUUGUAAACUGCUUUUGUACGGAACGAAACGGCUCUCUCUAAUACAGAGGGCUAAUGACGGUACCGUAAGAAUAAGCACCGGCUAACUACGUGCCAGCCGCCGCCGUAA